RNAcentral lists this ribosomal RNA (570 nucleotides) under Laminiceps vergarae. RNAcentral's name for it is "partial small subunit ribosomal RNA". The record is from RNAcentral. Lineage: Eukaryota; Metazoa; Arthropoda; Insecta; Hemiptera; Coreidae.
UUUAAGAUUGAUUUUGUCUUAGUUUUGAUUAAAUUAAUUGUUAAAUAAUAUUAAAUAUGAAUUUUUGUGUGAUUUUGUUUUAUCUAAAUGAUAAUUUUGUUUAUAUUUGUAGUUUUUAGUUUUGAUUAACAGAUGAUUCUGGAAUCAGUUAAUUUAUUUUAGGAUUGUUUAAGGUUAUGCCAGCAAACGCGGUUAUAUAAUCAAUCCAAAUUAAUUUUUUUGGUUAUUAUUUAUUUAUUAUUUUUGAAGGUUAAUGUAUGUUUUAAAGGUGAAAUUUUAAAUAUACUUAUAUUUUUUAGGUUGAGAUUAUAGGAAGGUUAGUUAAAAAACUAGGAUUAGAUACCCUAUUAUUCUAACUGUGAAUUGUUGACCAUAGUACUAUUAGUUAAGGUCUUUAAAUUAAAAGGAUUUGGCGGUAAUUUAGUCUUUUCAGAGGAAUCUGUUCUGUGAUUGAUAAUCCACGUUGGAUUUAACUUUAAUUAUCAUUUGUAUAUCUCUGUCAUUGAAUGUUUUAUUAGGAUAUUUUCUUUUAUUAUUAUUUAAUAAAUGUCAGGUCAAGGUGCAGUUAUA